CCUACGGGAGGCUGCAGUAGGGAAUCUUCGUCAAUGGGCGAAAGCCUGAACGAGCAAUGCCGCGUGAACGAGGAAGGUCUUCGGAUCGUAAAACUCUGUUGAUGGAGAAAAAGGACGGAGAGAGUAAAUGUUUUCUGAUUGACGUUAUCCUUCGAGGAAGUCACGGCUAACUACGUGCCAGCAGCCGCGGUAAUACGUAGGUGGCGAGCGUUAUCCGGAAGGAUUGGGCGUAAAGGGGGCGUAGGCGGCCUUGUAAGUCUGGGGUGAAAGGUUGCGGCCUAACCGGUAAAGUGUAUUGGAAACUGGCAGGCUUGAGAGCAGGAGAGGGAGGUGGAACUCCAGGUGUAGCGGUGAAAUGCGUAGAUAUAUGGAAGAACACCAGUGGCGAAGGCGGCCGACUGGCCUGUUACUGACGCUGAGGCUCGAAAGCGUGGGGAGCAAAUAGGAUUAGAUACCCUAGUAGUC
Molecule: ribosomal RNA, 465 nt
Filed under: uncultured bacterium
Lineage: Bacteria
Description: partial 16S ribosomal RNA
Rfam family: Bacterial small subunit ribosomal RNA
Source: RNAcentral